CCUACGGGAGGCUGCAGUGAGGAAUAUUGGUCAAUGGGCGCGAGCCUGAACCAGCCAAGUAGCGUGAAGGAUGACGGCCCUACGGGUUGUAAACUUCUUUUAUAAAGGAAUAAAGGGAGGCACGUGUGCCGUUUUGAAAGUACGUGAUGAAUAAGGAUCGGCUAACUCCGUGCCAGCAGCCGCGGUAAUACGGAGGAUUCGAGCGUUAUGCGGAUUUCUUGGGUUUAAAGGGAGCGUAGAUGUGUUGUUCAGUCAGUUGUGAAAGUUUGCGGCUCAACCGUCAACUUGCCAUUGAUACUGACAGCCUUGAGUACAAUUGAGGUAGACGAAAUUCG
This 335-nucleotide ribosomal RNA is filed under the name uncultured bacterium. RNAcentral's name for it is "partial 16S ribosomal RNA". It matches the Rfam family "Bacterial small subunit ribosomal RNA", at positions 338 to 670 of the family's 1533-position model. The record is from RNAcentral.